GCUAACUCAAUGGUAGAGUACUCGG
This 25-nucleotide transfer RNA is filed under the name Triticum turgidum (rivet wheat). Its description in RNAcentral is "partial tRNA-Lys". Lineage: Eukaryota; Viridiplantae; Streptophyta; Magnoliopsida; Poales; Poaceae. The record is from RNAcentral.